This is a long non-coding RNA of Prionailurus viverrinus (fishing cat), 723 nucleotides long. RefSeq lists it as uncharacterized. The record is from RefSeq and is a predicted model, not a curated record. The transcript is spliced from 3 exons. NCBI's taxonomy places the organism in Eukaryota, Metazoa, Chordata, Mammalia, Carnivora, Felidae.
CUUCACGAUGCUUCCAGGGGCUCUUUGCCCGUCCGUCCCUAAACACACAAACUGACCCGGACCCUGUAGGAGUCACGUGUCCCGGGCUGCUGGCGUAUUAAUUUCUUCACACCCUUUUUGCAGGGAUAACGGCUAGCAAGGCUGCAGCUAAUAGAGCUGGUCCCAGCUGUCUCCAUGGUAACGUUGUACCGUAUCAAUGUCACCUUCAUCCCGCCAAGAACAUGGUUCAUAGGACCAAGCCCAGUCAUCUCCAUGGUAACAUUGUCCCCUAUCGACAUCACCUUCAUCCCUCCAAGAACAUGGUUGCACAGAGACCAAGGCAUAAAGGUAGUUUCCCGCUUAUCUGGACAUCAAACCGUGACUCCCCAGCGACCCUGAACUUGAGCAGUGUUGAGGGAGCAGCGGCUGAUCUCAUUCUGUGAAAAACAAUUUAAGAGAUAACAAGACAUAUGAAGAUGAAUACAGCAAACAGCCACAUACCCACCUCCUGGCUUUGCCAAUAGAGCGAAGGUCUCCAGCAUGCACCUGCCCACUUUCCUGCCUUGGACCCCACCAGAGACCGAGACCGUUCUAAGUCUGGUGUUUAACAUGUCUUAGCACGCCUUUAUGUCAUUACAGAGAAGUGGGUUUUGCAGGCUUUUCGAUUUUAUUGAUUUUUUUACUUUUCUUUUUAAUGUUUAUUUUUUUCUUUUUUUAAACAUUUUGCUUUUUUUUUUAAUUUUU